UAUAUACCUAUUUAAUGCUUUUAACAAAAUACAGGUUGUAUCAAUCGUUGAAAUAAAAAAAUCCCGUAUUACGCUACUCGCUGUUUCCAAUUCCGUAUUACAAUACUAGCCGGACUACUUCGACCCAUUUAAUGACGUCACAUUACACGCACCGAAAAUAGAAAUAUUUUAUAUUACGAAAUAUAUUACGUAGCACAUCGUGUGACGUCAUUUUUGUGACAAAACACAAUAGUUUUAUCUAAACUCUGUAAGGACAUGUCGGAUGUGGUGUUUUUUAGCAGUAAACUAUGUGUUAAAAACGUAUUUUGUAGUGUGUUUUUAUCAUGCAUAAAUGUAUAUUUCGAUAGGAAUACAAUGAAAUAGUGUGGUUUAAACUAAGUUUCGAUAAAGACGUGGAAGAUAGAAGUGAAAGUGCAUAACGUUUUUGUUAUAAACAUCGGAUUAAAGCUGUCAACUUAAUUGUUAUAAAAAUUGGAUUAACGAUGGCAUAGAGUGACCACGAACCAUUUCUGACUGAAAAGGAAAGGCAGAUGCUCAAAGACGUAUGGCAUGGACUACAAAAGGACAUCCAGAGGAUUGGGGUCAUAACAUUUGUUAGUUUAUUUGAGACCCACCCUGAUGUUCAUGACGCAUUCAUGUCCUUCCGUGCUGUCAACACGUCCGAACUCAAGUACAACUCCAUUAUUCGAAAGCAUGCACUGAGCGUCAUGGGAAUCGUUGACAAGUGCAUUACUAGACUGGAUAACCGCGAAAAACUGCGAG
Long non-coding RNA from Dreissena polymorpha, 762 nucleotides. RefSeq lists it as uncharacterized. The record is from RefSeq and is a predicted model, not a curated record. NCBI's taxonomy places the organism in Eukaryota, Metazoa, Mollusca, Bivalvia, Myida, Dreissenidae. The transcript has 3 exons.